RNAcentral lists this ribosomal RNA (320 nucleotides) under uncultured bacterium. RNAcentral describes it as "bacterial SSU rRNA". It matches the Rfam family "Bacterial small subunit ribosomal RNA", at positions 37 to 334 of the family's 1533-position model. The record is from RNAcentral.
GAUCGAACGGCGUAGCUACAGGCUUAACACAUGCAAGUCGAGGGGCGAGCGAUAGGGCUUAGCUUGCUAAGCCCGAUGGCGACCGGCGCACGGGUGAGUAACACGUAUCCAACCUUCCGGUAACUCCGGUAUAGCCUUUCGAAAGAAAGAUUAAUCCCGGAUAGUAUGGUGAUUCCGCAUGGUUUCUCCAUUAAAGGAUUCCGGUUACCGAUGGGGAUGCGUUCCAUUAGGCAGUUGGCGGGGUAACGGCCCACCAAACCUACGAUGGAUAGGGGUUCUGAGAGGAAGGUCCCCCACAUUGGAACUGAGACACGGUCCAA